UGUUGUUACACCCACCAGGCAGAGGCCCCCUGCCGUCAGAGGGGAGCUGCAGGAGGUGCAGGAGCCUACCCUCCCUCCAUUGGUGAGCUCAUGAGACGACCCGGGAUGGAACCCGAGACCCUAGAGCUCAGCCUGUGCGCGGACCCGCGCCGUUCCAGUUUGAAGAAUGCAAAUGCAGCAGGGCCCAUCUGAGCCCAGUAGUACUCUGCAGGAGGACCGAUACCCGAACUCGGGGAGAAUGUUUGAUGCUGUAAGUGAAACUACAGGGAGAACUAAACCACUCGCCAGCGUGCGGAAUCGCCCCCUCUCCUCGUGCACCUACACAGGAAGAACAUUCAAGGGAUUGUCUCCGCAAAAAUGAGUGUCUGUCUGCCAGGGUGAAGCUGUUCUAAUGUGUAUGCUGUUCAAAACAUGUGCCUUUAUCAAAUGCUAGGCUAAUUAUUAGUUGCAUUACUCAGGAAGAUGAGAAUGAAAAACACAAGGCACUCUGGUUACUAAGGGGACCAAUUGGUUACAUCUGUUUAAAUCAGCAAAAUUAACCAAAAGACCUUUAAAAUAAGAGAGGCUACAUUUGUUAAAGAAGAUGCCUAUUAGAGCUCCCUAUAAGGUUCAUUAAAGACAGAAUUUUCCUAGUAAAAUUUAGCAUGACAAAGCAUGCAUCAUUAAAUAUGGAAAUCCUGAUUUUUAUUAGCAAUCUGCUAGAUCAGAGCUGACGCCAAUUAAAUAAAAGGAAGAUAUCAUUUAU
Molecule: long non-coding RNA, 745 nt
Filed under: Lepisosteus oculatus (spotted gar)
Lineage: Eukaryota; Metazoa; Chordata; Actinopteri; Semionotiformes; Lepisosteidae
Description: lncRNA (ENSLOCG00000021273.1)
Source: RNAcentral